GACGAGGCACUACGGUGCUGAAGCAACAAAUGCCCUGCUUCCAGGAAAAGCCUCUAAGCAUCAGGUAACAUCAAAUCGUACCCCAAACCGACACAGGUGGUCAGGUAGAGAAUACCAAGGCGCUUGAGAGAACUCGGGUGAAGGAACUAGGCAAAAUGGUGCCGUAACUUCGGGAGAAGGCACGCUGACACGUAGGUGAAGUGAUUUACUCACGGAGCUGAAGUCAGUCGAAGAUACCAGCUGGCUGCAACUGUUUAUUAAAAACACAGCACUGUGCAAACACGAAAGUGGACGUAUACGGUGUGACGCCUGCCCGGUGCCGGAAGGUUAAUUGAUGGGGUCAGCGCAAGCGAAGCUCCUGAUCGAAGCCCCGGUAAACGGCGGCCGUAACUAUAACGGUCCUAAGGUAGCGAAAUUCCUUGUCGGGUAAGUUCCGACCUGCACGAAUGGCGUAAUGAUGGCCAGGCUGUCUCCACCCGAGACUCAGUGAAAUUGAACUCGCUGUGAAGAUGCAGUGUACCCGCGGCAAGACGGAAAGACCCCGUGAACCUUUACUAUAGCUUGACACUGAACAUUGAGCCUUGAUGUGUAGGAUAGGUGGGAGGCUUUGAAGUGUGGACGCCAGUCUGCAUGGAGCCGACCUUGAAAUACCACCCUUUAAUGUUUGAUGUUCUAACGUGGACUCGUAAUCCGGGUUGCGGACAGUGUCUGGUGGGUAGUUUGACUGGGGCGGUCUCCUCCUAAAGAGUAACGGAGGAGCACGAAGGUUGGCUAAUCCUGGUCGGACAUCAGGAGGUUAGUGCAAUGGCAUAAGCCAGCUUGACUGCGAGCGUGACGGCGCGAGCAGGUGCGAAAGCAGGUCAUAGUGAUCCGGUGGUUCUGAAUGGAAGGGCCAUCGCUCAACGGAUAAAAGGUACUCCGGGGAUAACAGGCUGAUACCGCCCAAGAGUUCAUAUCGACGGCGGUGUUUGGCACCUCGAUGUCGGCUCAUCACAUCCUGGGGCUGAAGUAGGUCCCAAGGGUAUGGCUGUUCGCCAUUUAAAGUGGUACGCGAGCUGGGUUUAGAACGUCGUGAGACAGUUCGGUCCCUAUCUGCCGUGGGCGCUGGAGAACUGAGGGGGGCUGCUCCUAGUACGAGAGGACCGGAGUGGACGCAUCACUGGUGUUCGGGUUGUCAUGCCAAUGGCACUGCCCGGUAGCUAAAUGCGGAAGAGAUAAGUGCUGAAAGCAUCUAAGCACGAAACUUGCCCCGAGAUGAGUUCUCCCUGAGACUUAGAGUCUCCUGAAGGAACGUUGAAGACGACGACGUUGAUAGGCCGGGUGUGUAAGCGCAGCGAUGCGUUGAGCUAACCGGUACUAAUGAACCGUGAGGCUUAACCUUACA
RNAcentral lists this ribosomal RNA (1384 nucleotides) under Salmonella enterica. Its description in RNAcentral is "partial 23S ribosomal RNA". It matches the Rfam family "Bacterial large subunit ribosomal RNA", at positions 1568 to 2925 of the family's 2925-position model. The record is from RNAcentral. Lineage: Bacteria; Pseudomonadati; Pseudomonadota; Gammaproteobacteria; Enterobacterales; Enterobacteriaceae.